This is a small nuclear RNA of Erinaceus europaeus (western European hedgehog), 169 nucleotides long. Its record names the gene U1. It matches the Rfam family "U1 spliceosomal RNA". Rfam says of the family: U1 is a small nuclear RNA (snRNA) component of the spliceosome (involved in pre-mRNA splicing). Its 5' end forms complementary base pairs with the 5' splice junction, thus defining the 5' donor site of an intron. The record is from Ensembl. Lineage: Eukaryota; Metazoa; Chordata; Mammalia; Eulipotyphla; Erinaceidae.
AUACUUACCUGGCAGGGGAGGUAUGAUCAUGAAGGUGGUUUUCCCAGGGCGAGGCUAUCCAUUGCACUCUGGAUGUGCUGACCCCUGCAAUUUUUGAGAUUUCCUCUAAUGUGGGAAACUCGAUUGCAUAAUUUGUGGUAGUGGGGGACUGCGUUCACACUCUCUCCUG